CCUACGGGAGACAGCAGUAGGGAAUAUUGCUCAAUGGGGGGAACCCUGAUCCAGCGACGCCGCGUGAGUGAAGAAGUAUUUCGGUAUGUAAAGCUCUAUCAGCAGGGAAGAAAGAAAUGACGGUACCUGACUACGAAGCCCCGGCUAACUACGUGCCAGCAGCCGCGGUAAUACGUAGGGGGCAAGCGUUAUCCGGAUUUACUGGGUGUAAAGGGAGCGUAGACGGCGAUGCAAGUCUGAAGUGAAAGGCGGGGGCCCAACCCCUGGACUGCUUUGGAAACUGUAUGGCUGGAGUGCAGGAGAGGUAAGUGGAAUUCCUAGUGUAGCGGUGAAAUGCGUAGAUAUUAGGAGGAACACCAGUGGCGAAGGCGGCUUACUGGACUGUAACUGACGUUGAGGCUCGAAAGCGUGGGGAGCAAACAGGAUUAGAUACCCGUGUAGUC
This 443-nucleotide ribosomal RNA is filed under the name uncultured bacterium. Its description in RNAcentral is "partial 16S ribosomal RNA". It matches the Rfam family "Bacterial small subunit ribosomal RNA", at positions 338 to 795 of the family's 1533-position model. The record is from RNAcentral.